Molecule: long non-coding RNA, 4307 nt
Organism: Felis catus (domestic cat)
Lineage: Eukaryota; Metazoa; Chordata; Mammalia; Carnivora; Felidae
Exons: 2
Source: RefSeq, a predicted model, not a curated record
UCAGAUUCUGUGUCUCCCUCUCUCUCUGCCCCUCCCCUGCUCAUGCUCUGUCUCUCUCUGUCUCAAAAAUAAAUAAAACAUUAAAAAAUUAAAAAUAAUAAUAAAAAAAUAAAAAUAGAUUUGAAACAUUUAUAAAGAGAGGUACAAAUUUAUUCUACUCAAAUGCUGAGGAUCUGUAGAACAAAACAAAUAAAUUUCUGCCCUCAUAGAGUGUAUGAUCUUGGAAGUGAGAUGUGAGUAAUAAACUAGACGAAAAAAUUGAUAGGUACUAUAUGUGGUGUGUCAGAUGGUAGUACUUUGUAGAAAAAUAAUGCAAAGGAGGUGGAAAGGAUGGAAUAAAGGUGUUUGGAAGACAGGAGAGAGAAGUUUUUAAAUACUGUGGAGAGAAAAUGCUUGACAAAUGAUUAUUUAGACAAAGAUUUUUAAAACGAUGAGCAAAUUAUUAGGUAUCUGGGAAAAGAGCCUUUCGGGCAGGUGAAAUAACAACUUCAAAGAUCUUCAGGCUGAACCACUUUUGGUGUGUACAAGAAACAGCAAGGAGAUCUGGUUGGGUAUGAUUAAAUACACAAGAAGGGGACGCAUAAUUCAUGGGAUCGAAGAGUCUGUAAGGGCUAGCUAGAUCUUAUGGCUGUUUUCAGCUUUUAGCUUGUUCUGCAGAUUUAAUUUUUCAUACUUCCUUCAGAGAACUUUGACAGCAGUAUGCGUCUCAGCCUAUUUGACCUUUGUAGGUAGAACAGUAUUUUUAUAAAUCUGACUCAAGAUUACAACCUCCAUCAGACACUAUUGUUUAAACAUUUUAAACAAAAUGUUUAAAUAGUUGGUUAAUAGGUACAUGUGUGAUGAUCAGAUUUUUACAAAUUGUGCUUUGAUGGCUCUGAAUUUGUUUUCCACUUGAUCAGUUUAGCUUGUCAAAGCUAACAGCUCCAGGAGACACUAAACUUACUCAUGUUUGUCAUUUACCCAAACAAAUCGCCGCCAUUUGAUGCCUCCAUUCUGGAAUUGAUGUCAUAAUUAAGUAUUUAAUGAUUUAUCACCUGUUCUGUAGCAUCUUAGCUGAAACGUUCUUUGCCUGGAAUUGUUUCAUUCGCUAUGGUGUAUAUCCCACUAACUUAAUCUUCCUAAAACACUGCUUUUGUUUAUAAGGUAAAAUUCAAACUUGUUAGCUUUUGCAUCAUGAUAUUGCCCCAACUCUUCUUCAAGUGAACUAGUCUUGACCCAUCCGUUUUUCUGUUCGCUUUUAUUUAUGCCAUUUCACCACCCCAGUUCUCUCCCAGCUAAUCCCUCCCUGUACGUGGUUAAAAAUGAGCCAGACCUCUUGUGUGUGGUAAAUGUUUCCUGACUUUAACCGUGUGGUAUUAUCCCUCUAUCUUGUGGUAUGAAUGAUUUAUAUCUCUAGUUCUUAGCCUUUUUUUUCCUAACUUAACACACCUGAGGGACAUAAUACUUCAUCAUUAAUUGUGCCUCACUUAGUAAUACAUAUUAACCUUUUAAAUGCAUUAGCCAUAUGAAUAAACAUUUAAAAUUUUAUAAACAAAAUGAAGAAAAGCAAGUGGACUAAAACACCCAGAACUUGAAAACAUCAACCUAAAUAUCAGGUCCCAAAGUUUAAAUACUAAUUUUGUGCUGACGUUGAUAUAGUUGAUUUUUUUCCUCAGUUACAUGAAAAUCUCUUCUCCCUCCCUCCUUCCUUCUGGCCCUCUUUCUCUACUUCCAUUUCCUCCUUCCCUCUCUCUUUCUAUAUCUCAUAUAUAAUUGGGUAUGAACCAUCCAUAUAUAUUUUUAGGAUUUUAGCACAUUUAAAGGAAUGAUAAGUCAUCAUUUUAAUUUUUCAAUAUUGUAAAAGUAAUAAAUACACUCUUAAGUAAUGCAUGUGUUUAUUAUGGUGUUGCUUAUAAUAAUAAAAAUUUGUAAGAGUUUUUAAAGUGUCCAAUAUUAAAAGGCUAAUUAAAUAACAUGCUGAGUGGAAUACUGUGCAGCUACUUAAAAUAAUGUAAUGAAUAUUUGAUCAGCUAGAAAAUUGUUCAUGAUAAAUGUCAGACAGUAUGAACAGACUCGUUAGAAGAAUACAUUUGCUGAACUGUUAAUCACUGGUUUACUACAGGCGUGAGACAAAUCUUAUUAAGAUGAGGAAGGUGGAUCUUAUUUUCAUGAUUAUAAGUAAGCUUUAUGAUUUUUGUGACUUGGGGAAAGUUUGUUUUUGAAAAGGAGAGAGAAAAAUCCUUAAAAAAUAAAAACAAAUAUUUGAAGCACCACCACAUAAUCAUAACCCUUUUGGAAAUUUUGCUGGGUUCAGGAAAUUUAGAAGUGAUAAAAAUUAACUAUCAGGGAAGAACUGAACAGGUAACUUCAAAAAUCAGAUAAUUUAAAAAUCAGCUGUAGGGGAGCAAUCUCUGUGUUCUCAAAGGAGGGUUGAAAGGAAUUCAAAAAUCACAUCUUGAAUUCAUUGUUGAGUGCUUUUGCUGUCAUUUCUCCACUCUUCAAAACUUCAAAAGAUUAGUAAAUCUGAGUUUAUGGGAAGAUGCAUCUUGUUUACCCUUUGGCUUCUUCUACCACGCCUGCAUGCCAACCCCAACGGUACCUUUCCAUUGUGUGAGAAGCAUUCUGAGGCAAGGGAAGUCAUUGAAGGUUUUUCGGCAGGAAAGAAAAAUAACUACUGAAAUAUGUAUACUGGCCCAAGAUUUGCUCAGAGAGAAAUCUAAGACUGGUGUACUAAGUUAUGAAUUUGUUUCUUUUGUAUCUCCAUAACCACAUCAAAUUUACCAAAAACCUGAGCUGUUCUAAAAUUGUGGAAUUCAUAUUUGAUAUUCAAAAAACAUUAAUAUGGACAUUUCGUGCAAAACAUGACUAAAGUUACCAAUAUGUAAACCUAACACAAAUGUAUGAGUUCUAGUGUAUGACCUUUCUGUUACUGUGACCCAUUUAGAAUGUAAGCAAAAUAUGGUAUGUCUCAACCUGGUUUUUUCACAUGCAAAUAUUUUAUAAUUUGAAACUCUUAAGAACAGUGGUAGUUCAAUUUAGAAAAGCAGGUUUAGAACCUGAAAACACGUUGGCUAAUACGGUAAAGAAAAUACAUUUGGGGAGAAUCUAAAAAUCUUUACCUGUGGAGAGGAAUAUUUGUCACCAGAACAGGCCUGUGGUGCAGAUUUCAGGUCAGACCCUGUUGUGCCACUAGGGUCUGCAUUUUAGUGGUUUAUUGCAUCCUCUGGGGGAAAAAAAAAAAAAAACACCCAAAAGUAAAGCCUCUGGUCGAUAAUAAGCUAUUGUACUGUUUUUUAAAUUAGUGAUUCUUAGAUGUGUUUACCUCUAAAACUCAAGGUAUUUGGACCUUUAAAAAUUGAUGACUUACUCAUUUUAGAAAGUUUACAUAGUCACACUCUUCAGGAAAAGUUUGUGAUGGUUUUACUGUAUUUCCCAUAUUGAUUAAGGAACUAAAUACCCCCUCGCCCAAAAAAGAUAAUUUCUUCUGUGUAUUUCCCCCCCCCCCCCCCAACAAUACUAGGUAGCCUUGGUUUCUGGAUAGCCAAGUUGGAUUAUUUAAUUUGGAAUUUAGGUAAACUUUGGACACAUUUCAAAACUAGCAUGAAAAUUGAUUUAUUUAGGUUGACCUAUUACACGCUAAUAAACACUUGUUCCCCCAAACCAGUGUUGAUUGGAAGUCUUGGUAUGUAUGACUCAUGUCAGGACACAUGUAGAGUAUGGAUGUGAACCAACUGGAGUGCAUUCAGAAAAUUGAAAAAUAUGAGGUGCUCAGAUCUCACAAGGAAUGGUUGAAGGUACUGAGGAGCUUCCAAGCUUCCUUGAAAAAGAGAAGACAAGUAACAAUCUGAGGCUUGUGCAUUUUGUUUUCACCUGGAGGGCAAAACCGGGGAGUUUCAGGGAUGUGCAAGGGCUUUCUGCUGACUUUGAAUGUGUGCAUUAGGGAAGUGGACUGCUUUGCCAAGACCCUCAAAAGUGAUGAAAUGGGGUUGGGGUAGUUAGUAAGAUUUAAAGAUACUGUUUGGAAUGAAGAAAAUGAGUACACAUCAUCUUAAGUCCUUGCCUUUAAAAUGUAAGACCAUUUGUGCCAACAGGACAACUUUUGACUAAAGGAAAUCAUAGGGAAACAUGGAUUUUGUUUUGCUUUUGGACAGUUUUUACUGAUAAUGAUCAUUGUUUUAACAGACCUGGCAGCAUCUAAGGAAGGUACUCUAAGAAGUUCAAGAUCAAGGUUUCCAGAAACAUAUCACUUGUCUGAGAACUAUGAAAUAAAAAUGUUAAAUACUAAGAGAACAUAAUUUUUAAGUAUUAAAAGCUUUUAUAAAUUGGCA